GAUGAAGAACGUAGCGAAAUGCGAUAAGUAAUGUGAAUUGCAGAAUUCAGUGAAUCAUCGAAUCUUUGAACGCACAUUGCGCCCAUUAGCAUUCUAGUGGGCAUGCCUGUUCGAGCGUCAUUUCAACCCUUAAGCCCUGUUGCUUAGCGUUGGGAGCCUACAGUACUGUAGCUCCCCAAAGUUAGUGGCGGAGUCGGUUUCACACUCUAGACGUAGUAAUUUUUUCUCGUCUGUAGUUGAGCCGGUUCCCUGCCGUAAAACACCCAAUUUAUCAAGGUUGACCUCGGAUCAGGUAGGAAUACCCGCUGAACUUAAGCAUAUCAAUAAGCGGAGGA
Molecule: unclassified non-coding RNA, 335 nt
Filed under: soil metagenome
Description: partial contains 5.8S ribosomal RNA, internal transcribed spacer 2, and large subunit ribosomal RNA
Rfam family: 5.8S ribosomal RNA (bases 1-120)
Source: RNAcentral